RNAcentral lists this ribosomal RNA (207 nucleotides) under uncultured bacterium. Its description in RNAcentral is "partial 16S ribosomal RNA". It matches the Rfam family "Bacterial small subunit ribosomal RNA", at positions 568 to 774 of the family's 1533-position model. The record is from RNAcentral.
UACGUAGGCGGUUUAUUAAGUCAGAUGUGAAAGCCCCGGGCUUAACCUGGGAACUGCAUUUGAUACUGGUAAACUAGAGUAUGGUAGAGGGGGGUAGAGUUCCUAGUGUAGCGGUGAAAUGCGUAGAUAUUAGGAGGAAUACCAGUGGCGAAGGCGGCCCCCUGGACCAAUACUGACGCUGAGGUACGAAAGCGUGGGUAGCGAACA